GACGAACGCUGGCGGCGUGCUUAACACAUGCAAGUCGAACGAAAAGAGGGAAAGAGCUUGCUCUUUCCGGAAUUGAGUGGCAAACGGGUGAGUAACACGUAAACAACCUGCCUUCAGGAUGGGGACAACAGACGGAAACGACCGCUAAUACCGAAUAAGUUCCAAGGGCCGCAUGGCCCAUGGAAGAAAAGGUGGCCUCUACCUGUAAGCUAUCGCCUGAAGAGGGGUUUGCGUCUGAUUAGCUGGUUGGAGGGGUAACGGCCCACCAAGGCGACGAUCAGUAGCCGGUCUGAGAGGAUGAACGGCCACACUGGAACUGAGACACGGUCCAGACUCCUACGGGAGGCAGCAGUGGGGAAUCUUCCGCAAUGGGCGCAAGCCUGACGGAGCAACGCCGCGUGAGUGAUGACGGCCUUCGGGUUGUAAAACUCUGUGAUCCGGGACGAAAAGGCAGAGUGCGAAGAACAAACUGCAUUGACGGUACCGGAAAAGCAAGCCACGGCUAACUACGUG
RNAcentral lists this ribosomal RNA (513 nucleotides) under uncultured bacterium. RNAcentral's name for it is "partial 16S ribosomal RNA". It matches the Rfam family "Bacterial small subunit ribosomal RNA", at positions 28 to 507 of the family's 1533-position model. The record is from RNAcentral.